Molecule: ribosomal RNA, 301 nt
Filed under: uncultured bacterium
Lineage: Bacteria
Description: partial 16S ribosomal RNA
Rfam family: Bacterial small subunit ribosomal RNA
Source: RNAcentral
CAGUCGCCGCGGUAAUACGUAGGUCCCGAGCGUUGUCCGGAUUUAUUGGGCGUAAAGGGAGCGCAGGCGGUUUAGUAAGUCUGAAGUUAAAGGCAUUGGCUCAACCAAUGUAUGCUUUGGAAACUGUUAGACUUGAGUGCAGAAGGGGAGAGUGGAAUUCCAUGUGUAGCGGUGAAAUGCGUAGAUAUAUGGAGGAACACCGGUGGCGAAAGCGGCUCUCUGGUCUGUCACUGACGCUGAGGCUCGAAAGCGUGGGUAGCGAACAGGAUUAGAUACCCCUGUAGUCCCUGUCUCUUAUACA